This 497-nucleotide ribosomal RNA is filed under the name uncultured bacterium. RNAcentral describes it as "partial 16S ribosomal RNA". It matches the Rfam family "Bacterial small subunit ribosomal RNA", at positions 28 to 507 of the family's 1533-position model. The record is from RNAcentral.
GAUGAACGCUGGCGGCGUGCCUAAUACAUGCAAGUCGAGCGAACAGACGAGGAGCUUGCUCCUCUGACGUUAGCGGCGGACGGGUGAGUAACACGUGGAUAACCUACCUAUAAGACUGGGAUAACUUCGGGAAACCGGAGCUAAUACCGGAUAAUAUAUUGAACCGCAUGGUUCAAUAGUGAAAGACGGUUUUGCUGUCACUUAUAGAUGGAUCCGCGCCGCAUUAGCUAGUUGGUAAGGUAACGGCUUACCAAGGCAACGAUGCGUAGCCGACCUGAGAGGGUGAUCGGCCACACGGGAACGGAGACACGGUCCAGACGCCUACGGGAGGCAGCAGUAUGGAAUGGUCCGCAAUGGGCGAAAGUCUGACGGAGCAACGCCGCGUGAGUGAUGAAGGUCUUCGGAGCGUAAAACUGUGUUAUGAGGUAAGAACAAAUGUGGAAGUAACUAUGCACUUCUUGACGGUACCGAAUCAGAAAGCAACGGCUAACUACGUG